CCUACGGGAGGCAGCAGUGAGGAAUAUUGGUCAAUGGGCUUACGCCUGAACCAGCCAAGUCGCGUGAGGGAAGACUGCCCUAUGGAUUGUAAACCUCUUUUGUCGGGGAGCAAAAGACGCCACGCGUGGCGUUCCGAGAGUACCCGAAGAAAAAGCAUCGGCUAACUCCGUGCCAGCAGCCGCGGUAAUACGGAGGAUGCGAGCGUUAUCCGGAUGUAUUGGGUUUAAAGGGUGCGCAGGCGGAAGAUCAAGUCAGCGGUAAAAUUGAGAGGCUCAACCUCUUCGAGCCGUUGAAACUGGUUUUCUUGAGUGAGUGAGAAGUAUGCGGAAUGCGUGGUGUAGCGGUGAAAUGCAUAGAUAUCACGCAGAACUCCGAUUGCGAAGGCAGCAUACCGGCGCUCAACUGACGCUCAUGCACGAAAGUGUGGGUAUCGAACAGGAUUAGAUACCCCUGUAGUC
Molecule: ribosomal RNA, 459 nt
Filed under: uncultured bacterium
Lineage: Bacteria
Description: partial 16S ribosomal RNA
Rfam family: Bacterial small subunit ribosomal RNA
Source: RNAcentral